UACGGAGGGGGCUAGCGUUGUUCGGAAUUAUUGGGCGUAAAGCGCGCGCAGGCGGCCUUUUAAGUCUGAUGUGAAAGCCCACGGCUCAACCGUGGAGGGUCAUUGGAAACUGGAAGGCUUGAGUGCAGAAGAGAAGAGCGGAAUUCCACGUGUAGCGGUGAAAUGCGUAGAGAUGUGGAGGAACACCAGUGGCGAAGGCGGCUCUUUGGUCUGUAACUGACGCUGAGGCGCGAAAGCGUGGGGAGCAAACAGG
Molecule: ribosomal RNA, 253 nt
Filed under: uncultured bacterium
Lineage: Bacteria
Description: partial 16S ribosomal RNA
Rfam family: Bacterial small subunit ribosomal RNA
Source: RNAcentral